This 572-nucleotide ribosomal RNA is filed under the name Bacillus sp. (in: firmicutes). Its description in RNAcentral is "bacterial SSU rRNA". It matches the Rfam family "Bacterial small subunit ribosomal RNA", at positions 53 to 609 of the family's 1533-position model. Lineage: Bacteria; Bacillati; Bacillota; Bacilli; Caryophanales; Bacillaceae. The record is from RNAcentral.
ACUGCAAGUCGAGCGGACAGAAGGGAGCUUGCUCCCGGAUGUUAGCGGCGGACGGGUGAGUAACACGUGGGUAACCUGCCUGUAAGACUGGGAUAACUCCGGGAAACCGGAGCUAAUACCGGAUAGUUCCUUGAACCGCAUGGUUCAAGGAUGAAAGACGGUUUCGGCUGUCACUUACAGAUGGACCCGCGGCGCAUUAGCUAGUUGGUGAGGUAACGGCUCACCAAGGCGACGAUGCGUAGCCGACCUGAGAGGGUGAUCGGCCACACUGGGACUGAGACACGGCCCAGACUCCUACGGGAGGCAGCAGUAGGGAAUCUUCCGCAAUGGACGAAAGUCUGACGGAGCAACGCCGCGUGAGUGAUGAAGGUUUUCGGAUCGUAAAGCUCUGUUGUUAGGGAAGAACAAGUGCAAGAGUAACUGCUUGCACCUUGACGGUACCUAACCAGAAAGCCACGGUUAACUACGUGCCAGCNGCCGCGGUAAUACGUAUGUGGCAAACGUUGUCCCGAAUUAUUGCGCGCAAAAGGUUCCAAUNACGCUUCUUAACUCUAAAGUGAAAACCCCUCACA